This 85-nucleotide transfer RNA is filed under the name Felis catus (domestic cat). It matches the Rfam family "tRNA". Rfam says of the family: Transfer RNA (tRNA) molecules are approximately 80 nucleotides in length. Their secondary structure includes four short double-helical elements and three loops (D, anti-codon, and T loops). The record is from Rfam by way of RNAcentral. RNAcentral also lists the same sequence under 2 other names. Lineage: Eukaryota; Metazoa; Chordata; Mammalia; Carnivora; Felidae.
ACCUGAGUGGCUCAGUCGGUUGAGCAUCUGAUUCCAGCUCAGGUCACGAUCACACAGUUUGUGAGUUCGAGCCCCGCAUCGGGCU